This 498-nucleotide ribosomal RNA is filed under the name uncultured bacterium. RNAcentral's name for it is "partial 16S ribosomal RNA". It matches the Rfam family "Bacterial small subunit ribosomal RNA", at positions 30 to 523 of the family's 1533-position model. The record is from RNAcentral.
AUUGAACGCUGGCGGCAUGCCUUACACAUGCAAGUCGAACGGUAACAGGUCUUCGGAUGCUGACGAGUGGCGAACGGGUGAGUAAUACAUCGGAACGUGCCUAGUAGUGGGGGAUAACUACUCGAAAGAGUGGCUAAUACCGCAUGAGAUCUACGGAUGAAAGCAGGGGAUCGCAAGACCUUGUGCUACUAGAGCGGCCGAUGGCAGAUUAGGUAGUUGGUGGGUUAAAAGCUUACCAAGCCGACGAUCUGUAGCUGGUCUGAGAGGACGAUCAGCCACACUGGGACUGGGACACGGCCCAGACUCCCACGGGAGGCAGCAGUGGGGAAUUUUGGACAAUGGGCGCAAGCCUGAUCCAGCAAUGCCGCGUGCAGGAUGAAGGCCUUCGGGUUGUAAACUGCUUUUGUACGGAACGAAAAGCCCCGGGUUAAUACCCUGGGGUCAUGACGGUACCGUAAGAAUAAGCACCGGCUAACUACGUGCCAGCAGCCGCCGUAA